GAUGAACGCUGGCGGCGUGCUUAACACAUGCAAGUCGAACGGAAAGGCCAGUGCUUGCCCUGGUACUCGAGUGGCGAACGGGUGAGUAACACGUGGGUGAUCUGCCCUGCACUUCGGGAUAAGCCUGGGAAGCUGGGUCUAAUACCGGAUAGGACAAUGGUUUGGAUGCCGUUGUGGAAAGUUUUUUCGGUGUGGGAUGAGCUCGCGGCCUAUCAGCUUGUUGGUGGGGUAAUGGCCUACCAAGGCGUCGACGGGUAGCCGGCCUGAGAGGGUGUACGGCCACAUUGGGACUGAGAUACGGCCCAGACUCCUACGGGAGGCAGCAGUGGGGAAUAUUGCACAAUGGGCGCAAGCCUGAUGCAGCGACGCCGCGUGGGGGAUGACGGCCUUCGGGUUGUAAACUCCUUUCGCUAGGGACGAAGCGUAUUUGUGACGGUACCUGGAGAAGAAGCACCGGCUAACUACGUG
Molecule: ribosomal RNA, 468 nt
Filed under: uncultured bacterium
Lineage: Bacteria
Description: partial 16S ribosomal RNA
Rfam family: Bacterial small subunit ribosomal RNA
Source: RNAcentral